This 273-nucleotide ribosomal RNA is filed under the name uncultured bacterium. RNAcentral describes it as "partial 16S ribosomal RNA". It matches the Rfam family "Bacterial small subunit ribosomal RNA", at positions 356 to 621 of the family's 1533-position model. The record is from RNAcentral.
GGGGAAUAUUGCACAAUGGGCGCAAGCCUGAUGCAGCCAUGCCGCGUGUGUGAAGAAGGCCUUCGGGUUGUAAAGCACUUUCAGCGAGGAGGAAGGGUAGUGUGUUAAUAGCACAUUGCAUUGACGUUACUCGCAGAAGAAGCACCGGCUAACUCCGUGCCAGCAGCCGCGGUAAUACGGAGGGUGCAAGCGUUAAUCGGAAUUACUGGGCGUAAAGCGCACGCAGGCGGUUUGUUAAGUCAGAUGUGAAAUCCCCGCGCUUAACGUGGGAAC